GACGUAGGAGGCAAGCGUUAUCCGGAUUUAUUGGGCGUAAAGGGCAAGUAGGCGGUUCUCAAAGUUGGGCGUGACAUCUCCCGGCUCAACCGUGAGGGUGCGUUCAAAACUAGAGGACUAGAGGGCAGGAGAGUGAAGUGGAAUUCCCAGUGUAGCGGUGGAAUGCUCAGAUAUUGGGAAGAACACCAGUGGCGAAGGCGGCUUCCUGGCCUGCACCUGACGCUGAGAGGCGAAAGCUAGGGUAGCAAACGGGCUUAGAUACCCCCGUAGUCCCU
RNAcentral lists this ribosomal RNA (275 nucleotides) under uncultured prokaryote. RNAcentral describes it as "partial 16S ribosomal RNA". It matches the Rfam family "Bacterial small subunit ribosomal RNA", at positions 524 to 798 of the family's 1533-position model. The record is from RNAcentral.